This 501-nucleotide ribosomal RNA is filed under the name uncultured bacterium. RNAcentral describes it as "partial 16S ribosomal RNA". It matches the Rfam family "Bacterial small subunit ribosomal RNA", at positions 29 to 523 of the family's 1533-position model. The record is from RNAcentral.
AUUGAACGCUGGCGGCAUGCCUUACACAUGCAAGUCGAACGGCAGCACGGGUGCUUGCACCUGGUGGCGAGUGGCGAACGGGUGAGUAAUACAUCGGAACGUACCUUAUCGUGGGGGAUAACGCAGCGAAAGCUGUGCUAAUACCGCAUAAGCCCUGAGGGGGAAAGCGGGGGAUCGAAAGACCUCGCGCGAUUAGAGCGGCCGAUGCCUGAUUAGCUUGUUGGUGGGGUAAAAGCCCACCAAGGCGACGAUCAGUAGCUGGUCUGAGAGGACAAUCAGCCACACUGGGACUGAGACACGGCCCAGACUCCUACGGGAGGCAGCAGUGGGGAAUUUUGGACAAUGGGGGCAACCCUGAUCCAGCAAUGCCGCGUGAGUGAAGAAGGCCUUCGGGUUGUAAAGCUCUUUUGUCAGGGAAGAAACACCGGCUCUAACACAGUCCGGGAAUGACGGUACCUGAAGAAUAAGCACCGGCUAACUACGUGCCAGCAGCCGCGGUAA